Molecule: ribosomal RNA, 576 nt
Filed under: uncultured bacterium
Lineage: Bacteria
Description: partial 16S ribosomal RNA
Rfam family: Bacterial small subunit ribosomal RNA
Source: RNAcentral
UGGGGAAUAUUGGUCAAUGGGCGAGAGCCUGAACCAGCCAAGUCGCGUGAAGGAAGACUGCCUUAUGGGUUGUAAACUUCUUUUAUACAGGAAUAAAAAGGCUUACGUGUAGGCCAUUGCAAGUACUGUAUGAAUAAGCAUCGGCUAACUCCGUGCCAGCAGCCGCGGUAAUACGGAGGAUGCGAGCGUUAUCCGGAUUUAUUGGGUUUAAAGGGUGCGCAGGCGGGCUUUUAAGUCAGCGGUGAAAUCUGGACGCUUAACGUCCAAACUGCCGUUGAAACUGGGAGUCUUGAGUAUGGAUGAAGUAGGCGGAAUUCGUUGUGUAGCGGUGACAUGCAUAGAUAUAACGAGGAACUCCGAUUGCGUAGGCAGCUUACUAAGCCAUAACUGACGCUCAUGCACGAAAGCGUGGGGAUCAACAGAUUAGAUACCCUGGUAGUCCACGCCGUAAACGAUGAUUACUAGUUGUAUGCGAUAUGAUAGUAUGUGACUAAGCGAAAGCGAUAAGUAAUCCACCUGGGGAGUACGCCGGCAACGGUGAAACUCAAAGGAAUUGACGGGGUCAUAGCUUGUUCC